AUGGUAUGCUUUACCUAUGGAGGCCCUGGUCACUACGUCGGUAAUUGCAUUCAGAAGAAAACCUGCUUCAUCUGUGGAUUGGAGGGGCACAAUGUCAACAAUUGCGCGGCCUGGGCGCAACCUCAUCCAGUUGCCACAUUCUUCGGUAGUUCUGCUCAGGGGCUGGGAUUUUAUCACAUUGACGCUCCUGUGGGUCGAGAAGCAAAUUGGCUGAACUUCAGAAACUGCGGGGAAGUGUGGGUCAUGAAAGGUGAAAUCAACAAGGCCGAUCUGGUUAAGAAUUUGUCUGGUAUAUUCUGCAAUAAGCAAUGGACAUGGCAGAUCAGGCCAUUGACAGAGAAGAAGUUCCUGGUCGGAUUCCCACCCUGGAAAGAUGUGGAAGAGCUGAUUGAAUUUCCUGCCUUCGACUUGCCUAUCGAUGGAGUGUCUGUGUCUGUUGAGAAAUGGACCGGUGCAAUUGACCCAUUCAGCGAGCUUACUGAAGCCUGGGUUGUUAUUGAGGGGUUGUCAUCUAAAUGGUGCACAUGGAAGGUCCUGUCACAGAUUGCUUCCUGCUUUGGAAUCCUUGUGGAUGUAGAUUGGAAUGGCCUAAUGAAGAGUUUUUAUGAGAAAGUGAGAGUCAAGAUUGCUUGCAGGGACCCAGCUAAGAUCCCCUUCGAACGGAUCAUGGAGAUGAGGAAAAAACUUUAUAUCUUAUCCUUUAUAGUGGAAGGUUUUCAUCAGAUAGGGGUUGAUGAUCCUAAUGAUGACAAUGGGCCUACUGACAUAUCUGUAGACGAUGACAAAAAAGCAAUUGAUGAUGAGGAGCUG
RNAcentral lists this ribosomal RNA (810 nucleotides) under Triticum aestivum (bread wheat). RNAcentral describes it as "partial small subunit ribosomal RNA". Lineage: Eukaryota; Viridiplantae; Streptophyta; Magnoliopsida; Poales; Poaceae. The record is from RNAcentral.